AGUGAACGCUGGCGGUAGGCCUAACACAUGCAAGUCGAACGACAGCACAGAGGAGCUUGCUCCUUGGGUGGCGAGUGGCGGACGGGUGAGGAAUACAUCGGAAUCUACUCUGUCGUGGGGGAUAACGUAGGGAAACUUACGCUAAUACCGCAUACGACCUACGGGUGAAAGCAGGGGAUCUUCGGACCUUGCGCGAUUGAAUGAGCCGAUGUCGGAUUAGCUAGUUGGCGGGGUAAAGGCCCACCAAGGCGACGAUCCGUAGCUGGUCUGGGAGGAUGAUCAGCCAGACUGGAACUGAGACACGGUCCAGACUCCUACGGGAGGCAGCAGUGGGGAAUAUUGGACAAUGGGCGCAAGCCUGAUCCAGCCAUACCGCGUGGGUGAAGAAGGCCUUCGGGUUGUAAAGCCCUUUUGUUGGGAAAGAAAUCCAUCUGGUUAAUACCCGGGUGGGAUGACGGUACCCAAAGAAUAAGCACCGGCUAACUUCGUGCCAGCCGCCGCCGUAA
This 506-nucleotide ribosomal RNA is filed under the name uncultured bacterium. RNAcentral's name for it is "partial 16S ribosomal RNA". It matches the Rfam family "Bacterial small subunit ribosomal RNA", at positions 29 to 523 of the family's 1533-position model. The record is from RNAcentral.